Xenopus laevis (African clawed frog) is the source of this 429-nucleotide long non-coding RNA. RefSeq annotates it as IQ motif containing B1 pseudogene S homeolog. The record is from RefSeq and is a predicted model, not a curated record. Lineage: Eukaryota; Metazoa; Chordata; Amphibia; Anura; Pipidae. The transcript is spliced from 3 exons.
AAUCAAUGGUCAAUCAGCGAAUAGGGAAGAAAGUCCCGCCCAUAAGUGAUGACGUUGCACUAAGUGGCGUCGUUUGACCCAAUGUGCUUUGCGGUCCGGGCCUUGGCCAGUGAGGAGCCUUACUGGAGUAGCGUACGGUUGCUAGGCAACCUGUCAGGGUCAGAUGAAAUUAAGAAUCCUCUUUCAAAUGGAACAGACACAAAAGUGAGAGUGUAACAUACUCACUGCAGCCCUAACCUAAUGAUGAGCAGUUUUCUGGAGCUGAAUCAGGGACAGAAUCCCUUUCCUGUUUAGGGUAAGAUAGUGAUCUAGAUCAAUUACCCAUAUUGCUACAUUUAUUUGUAAAAUGUUUCUGUUUAAAUGUUAUCUCCUCACCUGGAUACUUUGUUUAAGUAAUAUUUCCCCUCCUGGAUACUUAUAAUAACACAA